CUUUUUUUUAAUAUUUUAUUUAUUUAUGAGAACACACGGAGAGGAGAAAGAGAAGCAGAGAAACAGGCAGAGGGAGAAGCAGGCUCCAUGCAGGGAGCCUGAUGUGGGACUCGAUCCUGGGUCUCCAGGAUCACACCCUGGGCUGCAGGUGGCGCUAAACUGCUGAGCCACUGGGGCUGCCCAAUUCUUAACUUUUAAAGUAAUUGCAAGAUCUUUUUCCAAAAUGUAUCACUUUAUACUUGCACCAACAAUAUAUGAGAGUUCUGGUUAAUCCACAUCCUGCUCAACAUUUGUUUUUUUAAUUUGGCGGGGGGGCGGGAGCGGACUUUAGCUUUAGCCUUAUGGUAUAUGUAGUGGUAUCUUAUUGUGUGUGGCUUUAUUUUGCAUUUCCCUGGUCCCAAAUGAUGUUGAGCAUCUUUUCAUAUGCUUUGUGGCCAUACAUAUGUUUUCUCUUGUGAAGAGUUUGUUAAAUUCUUUUUGCACCCCCCCCCCCCCCCAUCUUUUGUAUUGGCUUGUUUGCCUUUUUACUACUCAGUUGUAGGAGUUCCAAAGUUAAAUUCCUGCUUUGGUUUUUCUGGGUGCCCUAUGAGGACACACUCAUGAAGGAUUUUGCUCAGUCUCUUGCUCACAACCAUGCUUCUAAAGAGCCAAAUUUGAUGGUGGACAGAUCUGCCUAGAUAUACCCCAACCAACCAGAAAGGGGAUGUCAAAAAGAUAUCUUUAUGUAAUUAUGCCCUCAUCCUACUUCCAUCUAGUGUUCUUCUCCCACUACACAUGAAAUAGAGGCUAUGAGUUUAGAUGUCGGACAAAUCCCCACACCAGCUUUUAAUCCACCGGAGCAUGAACAACCUAGUGUCACUUUUCUUCUGUAAAAUGGAUAAGCCUACUUUCAGGGUUGGUGUUAAAGACUAGAAAUUAUGUAUAUGUGGGACGUAGAAUGUAGUGAGUGUUUAAUAAUAUUGACUGUCAUUUACUCAAACAAUUCUUUGAUGUAGGGUCUAUGAUCUCUUGUUUUACAGAUAAGAAAACAGGUACAGAAACCAAGAUAUUGCCUAAGAUCAUAGUGAGUCAUGAAGCCAGAACUAGAGUUCACACCAUCAAACUCAAACAAAACAAAAACCAAAAGAGGAGCUGCCAUCAUUAUGAUUAUUUUAUAUUCUAUGCUUUCUCUCCUUUUGAAAUUGCCUCUCCCCAUCAUUCAAGACCCGCCACCUCCAGGAGACUUACCUUCUCUUCUCUAGUGUUAUAGUCUUCUGUGCACUUCUGCUAUAGCCUGUGUUCUAUUUCCAAUAUCUGUGGCCCCAUGUGCUCCUGAAAGAGCUCUUGGUCACCUUAGUAUUCCUGUUACCUAAGCAAGGAGGCUAGUAUACAGUAGGUGCUCAGCAAUGUCUGAACAAACAAGUCACAGCACAGUUCAUAGUGUCCCCACACUGCCACACUAUUCAGGUCAAGUUCUGUGCAUUCUUUAGGGACUGCUAGAGGGUGCACCUUCCAGGGAAUCUUUCCCCAAGUUGUGAUCCUUCCUAUUUCCUCCACACCAUAGGAUUCUACAGGAUGAGACUGUCUUUAUCCCUCCUCCCCAGAGUCUGUGAUAAGUCUGUGCAGCAGACAGAAGAAGCCACACUGCGGCUUGGAGACAAAGCUGGGCUGCAUGCUUUGGAGCUGGCUCCAAAUCAUCCUCUCCUCUCUGGGGCACUGUGUGGCCUCAAGAAACAGUCAGUUGGAGAUGCUGGCUCUGAAGGCUGGCCAAACCCCUGUGGUUUGGCAGGAGAAAAGAUCAUUGUCCAAGCAGGAAGUGGUCUUGGGUCUCAGCUGACCCUAGACUUUUCCAGGCAGGGCUGGGGCUCAUAGCAGCUGAACUGGAGGCUCCCCGCAGGCUCACACACAAUUCUCCCUCUCUGGAAGACUAGAGAUCCCUGUCCCCAGGCAGGCUCCCUGCCCCAAAUCCCACAAAUCUUAGCAUCACGUGCCUGGAGUACUAAGAGAUUUCUUGACAUACUGACAGCAACCAAGUUAGUCUAGCUUCCCAUCAUUUGCCCUGGAGGGAGCAGGGUGAUCCUGGGAGCUGAGAAGCCUUGUAUAGCAGAGCCAUAGAGCUCACAGGCUGCAGCCCAAUCAGGUGGUUGAGCUUUGCUACUCCAAAGGAAGGGAGAGCGCAAAAGGACAGAGACCGUAUCUUUUGUGUGCAGCAAAGUCAUAAGCAAUCCAGAAAAACUGGAAAAUUUCACAUGAGACUAGCCCCAGCCCAGUUUAGUAGAUGAUCUCAACUUGGACACAGAGGCUUUUAGACAAAAGGAACACAAAACUCCCACAAGUUUCUCACUAGCGCUGGAAAAAAGCACUUAAGAGCUGUCACUUACAAUGGUCUCCUGCAGGGGUGAAAGCAGGCUGGUACUAUGGGAAGACUGCAGGCCCAUCACUCACUCAGCCUGGAUAGUACAAAGAGCUUUGGGAUUUAGGCUGAAGGCCACUGAUCCCAUGGGUGGCUUUGAUGUCUGAAGGGAGGUGGAGGGGCUUAUUUCUUCUGAUGUGAGAAAUGACUUGAUGCCCCUUAUGGCUGGGUCCUAGAACCCUCCUUACUCCUUCCACUCCCCUUCUCUCCCUGAGCACAUUCACUUACUUACCACC
RNAcentral lists this long non-coding RNA (2628 nucleotides) under Canis lupus familiaris (dog). RNAcentral's name for it is "lncRNA (ENSCAFG00000054528.1)". The record is from RNAcentral. Lineage: Eukaryota; Metazoa; Chordata; Mammalia; Carnivora; Canidae.